RNAcentral lists this unclassified non-coding RNA (413 nucleotides) under Gonocarpus effusus. RNAcentral's name for it is "partial miscellaneous RNA". The record is from RNAcentral. Lineage: Eukaryota; Viridiplantae; Streptophyta; Magnoliopsida; Saxifragales; Haloragaceae.
CUUUUGUCUUAGUGUAUAUGUAUAUGAGUUUUUGACAAUAAAGGAACAAUAUCAAARUUCUUGAUAAAACAAGAAAUUGAGUAUUGUUCCUUUAUUUUAUUUAAUAGUUUUUCUACUUAGAAUUACUUAUUAGAAUUAUUUAUAAUUAUUUAUUCUUAAUUAGAGAAUUACUUAUAGAGAAUUACUUAGAAUGUUAGUCUAUUUUAGUCUAUUCUUAGAAUUUUUUAUUCUAUUUUAGACAAAGUAGUUGUAUUCUUAUUAUUGUUAUUAUAUGAUAUGGUUUAAUUUAUUUCUUGUUUUUGUUAUUUAUUUUAUUCCAAAAUAACAAACUAAAAUAACAAAAAUAAAAAUCAGGGGCGGAUGUAGCCAAGUGGAUUAAGGCAGUGGAUUGUGAAUCCACCAUGCGCGCCUGU